GUGACCUGCCCCAUACCGGGGGAUAACAGCUGGAAACGGCUGCUAAUACCGCAUAAGCGCACAGAGCUGCAUGGCUCAGUGUGAAAAACUCCGGUGGUAUGGGAUGGGCCCGCGUCUGAUUAGGCAGUUGGCGGGGUAACGGCCCACCAAACCGACGAUCAGUAGCCGGCCUGAGAGGGCGACCGGCCACAUUGGGACUGAGACACGGCCCAAACUCCUACGGGAGGCAGCAGUGGGGAAUAUUGCACAAUGGGGGAAACCCUGAUGCAGCGACGCCGCGUGAGCGAAGAAGUAUUUCGGUAUGUAAAGCUCUAUCAGCAGGGAAGAUAAUGACGGUACCUGACUAAGAAGCCCCGGCUAACUACGUGCCAGCAGCCGCGGUAAUACGUAGGGGGCAAGCGUUAUCCGGAUUUACUGGGUGUAAAGGGAGCGUAGACGGCAAGGCAAGUCUGAUGUGAAAACCCAGGGCUUAACCCUGGGACUGCAUUGGAAACUGUCUGGCUCGAGUGCCGGAGAGGUAAGCGGAAUUCCUAGUGUAGCGGUGAAAUGCGUAGAUAUUAGGAAGAACAC
This 570-nucleotide ribosomal RNA is filed under the name uncultured Lachnospiraceae bacterium. RNAcentral describes it as "bacterial SSU rRNA". It matches the Rfam family "Bacterial small subunit ribosomal RNA", at positions 121 to 709 of the family's 1533-position model. Lineage: Bacteria; Bacillati; Bacillota; Clostridia; Lachnospirales; Lachnospiraceae. The record is from RNAcentral.